GAUGAACGCUAGCGAUAGGCUUAACACAUGCAAGUCGAGGGGCAGCAUUAUUUUAGCUUGCUAAGAUAGAUGGCGACCGGCGCGCGGGUGCGUAACGCGUAUGCAACCUGCCUGUAAUUAGGGAAUAACCCGGUGAAAGUCGGACUAAUACCCUAUAUUCUUCUUUUUCCGCAUGGAGAAGGACGGAAAGAUUUAUUGAUUACAGAUGGGCAUGCGUCCCAUUAGCUCGUUGGUAAGGUAACGGCUUACCAAGGCAACGAUGGGUAGGGGGACUGAGAGGUUGACCCCCCACACUGGUACUGAGACACGGACCAGACUCCUACGGGAGGCAGCAGUGAGGAAUAUUGGCAAUGGGCGAGAGCCUGAACCAGCCAAGUCGCGUGAAGGACGACGGUUCUAUGGAUUGUAAACUUCUUUUGUAGAGGAAUAAUGGCAGCUACGUGUAGCUGAGAUGCAUGUACUCUACGAAUAAGUAUCGGCUAACUCCGUGCCAGCAGCCGCGGUAAUACGGAGGAUACGAGCGUUAUCCGGAAUUAUUGGGUUUAAAGGGUGCGUAGGUGGCGUAUUAAGUCAGUGGUGAAAAGCUGCAGCUCAACUGUAGUCUUGCCGUUGAAACUGAUAUGCUAGAGAGGAGACGAGGUAUGCGGAAUGUGUGGUGUAGCGGUGAAAUGCAUAGAUAUCACACAGAACGCCGAUUGCGAAGGCAGCGUACCAGGCUCCGUCUGACACUGAAGCACGAAAGCGUGGGGAUCAAACAGGAUUAGAUACCCUGGUAGUCCACGCAGUAAACGAUGAAUACUAGAUUUUUGCGAUAUAGUGUAAGAGUCUAAGCGAAAGCGAUAAGUAUUCCACCUGGGGAGUACGCCGGCAACGGUGAAACUCAAAGGAAUUGACGGGGGCCCGCACAAGCGGAGGAACAUGUGGUUUAAUUCGAUGAUACGCGAGGAACCUUACCCGGGAUUGAAAUUUAGAUGGCGGCAGAUGAGAGUUUGCUUUCUUUCGGGACAUCUAAG
This 1013-nucleotide ribosomal RNA is filed under the name Porphyromonas endodontalis. Its description in RNAcentral is "bacterial SSU rRNA". It matches the Rfam family "Bacterial small subunit ribosomal RNA", at positions 28 to 1034 of the family's 1533-position model. The record is from RNAcentral. Lineage: Bacteria; Pseudomonadati; Bacteroidota; Bacteroidia; Bacteroidales; Porphyromonadaceae.